Molecule: small RNA, 199 nt
Filed under: Paenibacillus sp.
Lineage: Bacteria; Bacillati; Bacillota; Bacilli; Caryophanales; Paenibacillaceae
Also listed under: 1 other name
Description: c-di-AMP sequence
Rfam family: c-di-AMP riboswitch aptamer (ydaO/yuaA leader)
About the family: This family represents a conserved RNA structure found upstream of the ydaO and yuaA genes in Bacillus subtilis and related genes in other bacteria. The ydaO/yuaA element is thought to act as a genetic "off" switch for the ydaO and yuaA genes in its native state.
Source: RNAcentral
AAAUUCUUAUCGCUUAAUUUCCGCCAUCGUGCGGAAAGCGGGGGAACCACAAGGGAAGCCUGAGCUGCCGGUGUGAGAGCCGAAAGCCAUGCGUCCCCGGGGUGAAUCCUCAUCGUGCAUGUAUAACAUGCACUGGGGUAGGGCGACUCUCACCGCCCGAAUCCGUCAGCUAACCUCGUCAGCGUUGGAUCGAACAGCC